This 1776-nucleotide ribosomal RNA is filed under the name Triticum aestivum (bread wheat). RNAcentral describes it as "partial small subunit ribosomal RNA". Lineage: Eukaryota; Viridiplantae; Streptophyta; Magnoliopsida; Poales; Poaceae. The record is from RNAcentral.
AUGGCCGGCGGCGGGACCAGCAUCAGGAAGUAUGUGGGCGCCCUCAAGGACUCCACCACCGUCAGCAUCGCCAAAGUCAACAGCGACUACAAGCAACUGGACAUCGCGAUCGUCAAGGCCACCAACCAUGUGGAGAGGCCUGCAAAGGAGAAGUACAUCAGAGACAUUUUCAUGCAUCUUAAUUCCGGGCGGGCUCGGGCGGACGUGGCCUACUGCAUCCGCGCCCUCGCGAGGCGCCUCUCCAAGACGCGCAACUGGGCGGUUGCACUGAAGACGCUAAUUGUCAUACACCGUGCCCUUCGCGAGGUCGACCCUUCUUUCCGUGAUGAGCUCGUCAGUUACGGAAGAUCUAGCGGCCAGAUGCUACACAUGUCCUAUUUCAAAGAUGACUCCAGCCCUGAUGCUUGGGAUCACUCUGCUUGGAUACGCAAUUAUGCUUUAUUUUUGGAAGAGAGGCUCGAAUCUUUCCGUGUGCUGAAUUAUGAUGUCGAACUGGAUCCAUUGGGAACACGAGAUGUUGAUACAACUGGUUUGCUUGCACAACUGCCAGCAUUGUCGCAGCUUCUUUUUCGGCUAAUUAGUUGUCAGCCGCAUGGGUCAUCAUCUUAUAACACCAUAAUCCAGCAUGCCCUUUCAAUGGUUGCUACGGAGAGUGUUAGGAUCCAGACAGCCAUCAAUGAUGGCAUACUCAAUCUAGUUGACAAGUUCUUCGAUAUGCAUAGGGACGACGCUAUUAGGGCCCUCGAUAUAUACAAAAAAGCACUUAAGCAGGCAGGGCAACUUUCUGGAUUUUAUGAGACAUGUAAAACCAUACAUAUUGGGCGGGAUGAGAAGCUGUUAACAAUCGAGCAGCCUCCUGCGUCAUUCUUGCAAGCUAUGGAAGAUUAUGUGAGAGAUGCUCCCCUUGCUUCAAAAAACCAGGACGUCUUCAUUUGUUUGCAGGCUGUACUGGCAAUAGAGUACAACAGAAAACCAGAAGAGGAAGAAGCAUCAACUCCACCACCACCUCCUCCUCAAGUAUCAACUUCAGAGAAAGAACCAGAACCAGAGCCGGUUAAAAAAGUCGUGCCUAGAGUCGAGCAAAUAGAUUUGCUGGGGAUGGAUGAGCCGAUCCCUGACACGUCCGAGCUAGAUCAAAACAAUGCUUUGGCCUUGGCAAUUGUUGAACCAGAUAAUGCGCCUAAAGCUGCUGUUAGUUCCGAAAACGUCGCCACUAGCUGGGAGCUGGCUCUGGUCACAGCACCCAGUGCAAGUGAAAAUGUUGCUACUUCAAGAAACUUGGCCGGUGGACUGGACCUGCUCACCCUCGACAGCCUCUACGACGACGCGCACCGGCACACGCAGCAGAACGCAAGCUACAACCCCUGGGAGCAGCCGGCCCCGGCUUCAUCGGCUCCAAUGAUGCAGCAGCAGUAUCAACCGCAGCCGAUGCACAACCCGUUGUACGCCUCGGCGCAGCAGCAGCAGGCCUUCAUGCUCCAGCAGCAGCAGGCCUUCGUGCUCCAGCAGCAGCACCAGUACCAGCAGCAGUACCAGCAGAUGAUGAUGAUGGGCGCGCCGUCCCUCCAUCGCCAGGCGUCCUCCAACCCGUCGCUCCAUCGUCAGGCGUCCUCCAACCCGUCGCUCCAUCGCCAGGCGUCCUCCAACCCGUCCUUCCAUCGCCAGGCGUCCUCCAACCCGUUCGACAGAUCAUACGUGCCGGCAGGUGGUUACCCUAAUGCUCCGGCGAUGCAGCUCCACACCGGCAACGCCUACAAUGGGACCGGCAUGAUGUAG